GACUAGGCACUGCUCAGAGAGCUGGGGUAAGGCCACCGUGUGCUUUCCUGAAAGGAGUGAAAGUAGAGAGAGCCUGAGAUGAGCAUCUUCCGGAGGGAGGGACUAUGUCGCCUGGGAGAGAGUCACACACACCUGGUUUCUGGGACUCUGGGCCCCAGAGGCAGGUGUCAUCUAGGGAUAAAGAAUGAGAGGUAAUGUCCAGAGGAGGAGGUCCCUUCUCUGACAGCCUGGGGUCGGAGGAGGCAAAGCUUUUGUUAAGAGGCAGUUCCCUGGCUUGAUCAGAAGAGGAAUGUCAGCCAGCUUCUGAGGACUGCAAUACCAGAGCUUCUGAGGCAAACUGGGACAUAGGAAGAUUGAAGAAGGCGCCAGAGGCACAGAGACACACUACUGGAGCCUUGGAGAUGGUGGUCAUGGAAGCCAUUAAUAAAACAUGGAACUUUCUGGAACACUGGGUUUCUGGCUGUUCCUUUGUUUGCCCGUGGUGGCCAGCAUGUUUGCAGUUGGGAGGAUUCUUCACCAGUCUAACACAUGCCUCAGUUUUCUAGAGAUGGAACCUGAUGAAACGGCCCCGUUUGAGCGCCUGCUGUAUCGCGUUGGCUCUGCUUCCUGCAGCUGUGCUCCAAGAUGAGCCUUUCAGACAUCGCUCCUUAAUAGCUCCAUCUCCCCCAGUCCAGGAGGAUGUGCAUUCCUCUCCUCAUUCACAUGCCCCACGUCAAGCCAUCUGCACACUCUACAGGGGACUUGCCGCCUAACAUCCUAAUGUGCAACCCCAUCCAAAUCCUCUGCUGGAAUCUCACUAUUUGCACCACUUACGCUCCUGGAGCGUGAAACAGAAGGGCCAGUCCUCUUGUCUCUUUAUUCUAAGUGUUUAAUACAGAUUCCAUGGACUUGGUCCAUAACAAUAUGAGUGUGGUCUUACAUCAGUCCUUCUACUAAUUUCUCAUCAUCUCCCUCAUCCUUGUCCUUUAGUGAUUGUUCCAGACCUUCUCUUCUUAUCCUCAUACUCUCGUCUUUGGUAUAGUAGUGAGUAAAAGAAAGAAAGAAAAUAAAGGUCCUAGUGUGACUC
Molecule: long non-coding RNA, 1066 nt
Organism: Gorilla gorilla gorilla (western lowland gorilla)
Lineage: Eukaryota; Metazoa; Chordata; Mammalia; Primates; Hominidae
Exons: 3
Source: RefSeq, a predicted model, not a curated record